Molecule: ribosomal RNA, 2696 nt
Filed under: Escherichia coli
Lineage: Bacteria; Pseudomonadati; Pseudomonadota; Gammaproteobacteria; Enterobacterales; Enterobacteriaceae
Description: partial 23S ribosomal RNA
Rfam family: Bacterial large subunit ribosomal RNA
Source: RNAcentral
GAAACCCAGUGUGUUUCGACACACUAUCAUUAACUGAAUCCAUAGGUUAAUGAGGCGAACCGGGGGAACUGAAACAUCUAAGUACCCCGAGGAAAAGAAAUCAACCGAGAUUCCCCCAGUAGCGGCGAGCGAACGGGGAGGAGCCCAGAGCCUGAAUCAGUGUGUGUGUUAGUGGAAGCGUCUGGAAAGGCGCGCGAUACAGGGUGACAGCCCCGUACACAAAAAUGCACAUAUUGUGAGCUCGAUGAGUAGGGCGGGACACGUGGUAUCCUGUCUGAAUAUGGGGGGACCAUCCUCCAAGGCUAAAUACUCCUGACUGACCGAUAGUGAACCAGUACCGUGAGGGAAAGGCGAAAAGAACCCCGGCGAGGGGAGUGAAAAAGAACCUGAAACCGUGUACGUACAAGCAGUGGGAGCCUCUUUAUGGGGUGACUGCGUACCUUUUGUAUAAUGGGUCAGCGACUUAUAUUCUGUAGCAAGGUUAACCGAAUAGGGGAGCCGAAGGGAAACCGAGUCUUAACUGGGCGUUAAGUUGCAGGGUAUAGACCCGAAACCCGGUGAUCUAGCCAUGGGCAGGUUGAAGGUUGGGUAACACUAACUGGAGGACCGAACCGACUAAUGUUGAAAAAUUAGCGGAUGACUUGUGGCUGGGGGUGAAAGGCCAAUCAAACCGGGAGAUAGCUGGUUCUCCCCGAAAGCUAUUUAGGUAGCGCCUCGUGAAUUCAUCUCCGGGGGUAGAGCACUGUUUCGGCAAGGGGGUCAUCCCGACUUACCAACCCGAUGCAAACUGCGAAUACCGGAGAAUGUUAUCACGGGAGACACACGGCGGGUGCUAACGUCCGUCGUGAAGAGGGAAACAACCCAGACCGCCAGCUAAGGUCCCAAAGUCAUGGUUAAGUGGGAAACGAUGUGGGAAGGCCCAGACAGCCAGGAUGUUGGCUUAGAAGCAGCCAUCAUUUAAAGAAAGCGUAAUAGCUCACUGGUCGAGUCGGCCUGCGCGGAAGAUGUAACGGGGCUAAACCAUGCACCGAAGCUGCGGCAGCGACACUAUGUGUUGUUGGGUAGGGGAGCGUUCUGUAAGCCUGUGAAGGUGGCCUGUGAGGGUUGCUGGAGGUAUCAGAAGUGCGAAUGCUGACAUAAGUAACGAUAAAGCGGGUGAAAAGCCCGCUCGCCGGAAGACCAAGGGUUCCUGUCCAACGUUAAUCGGGGCAGGGUGAGUCGACCCCUAAGGCGAGGCCGAAAGGCGUAGUCGAUGGGAAACAGGUUAAUAUUCCUGUACUUGGUGUUACUGCGAAGGGGGGACGGAGAAGGCUAUGUUGGCCGGGCGACGGUUGUCCCGGUUUAAGCGUGUAGGCUGGUUUUCCAGGCAAAUCCGGAAAACCAAGGCUGAGGCGUGAUGACGAGGCACUACGGUGCUGAAGCGACAAAUGCCCUGCUUCCAGGAAAAGCCUCUAAGCAUCAGGUAACAUCAAAUCGUACCCCAAACCGACACAGGUGGUCAGGUAGAGAAUACCAAGGCGCUUGAGAGAACUCGGGUGAAGGAACUAGGCAAAAUGGUGCCGUAACUUCGGGAGAAGGCACGCUGAUAUGUAGGUGAAGCGACUUGCUCGUGGAGCUGAAAUCAGUCGAAGAUACCAGCUGGCUGCAACUGUUUAUUAAAAACACAGCACUGUGCAAACACGAAAGUGGACGUAUACGGUGUGACGCCUGCCCGGUGCCGGAAGGUUAAUUGAUGGGGUUAGCGGUAACGCGAAGCUCUUGAUCGAAGCCCCGGUAAACGGCGGCCGUAACUAUAACGGUCCUAAGGUAGCGAAAUUCCUUGUCGGGUAAGUUCCGACCUGCACGAAUGGCGUAAUGAUGGCCAGGCUGUCUCCACCCGAGACUCAGUGAAAUUGAACUCGCUGUGAAGAUGCAGUGUACCCGCGGCAAGACGGAAAGACCCCGUGAACCUUUACUAUAGCUUGACACUGAACAUUGAGCCUUGAUGUGUAGGAUAGGUGGGAGGCUUUGAAGUGUGGACGCCAGUCUGCAUGGAGCCGACCUUGAAAUACCACCCUUUAAUGUUUGAUGUUCUAACGUUGGCCCGUAAUCCGGGUUGCGGACAGUGUCUGGUGGGUAGUUUGACUGGGGCGGUCUCCUCCUAAAGAGUAACGGAGGAGCACGAAGGUUGGCUAAUCCUGGUCGGACAUCAGGAGGUUAGUGCAAUGGCAUAAGCCAGCUUGACUGCGAGCGUGACGGCGCGAGCAGGUGCGAAAGCAGGUCAUAGUGAUCCGGUGGUUCUGAAUGGAAGGGCCAUCGCUCAACGGAUAAAAGGUACUCCGGGGAUAACAGGCUGAUACCGCCCAAGAGUUCAUAUCGACGGCGGUGUUUGGCACCUCGAUGUCGGCUCAUCACAUCCUGGGGCUGAAGUAGGUCCCAAGGGUAUGGCUGUUCGCCAUUUAAAGUGGUACGCGAGCUGGGUUUAGAACGUCGUGAGACAGUUCGGUCCCUAUCUGCCGUGGGCGCUGGAGAACUGAGGGGGGCUGCUCCUAGUACGAGAGGACCGGAGUGGACGCAUCACUGGUGUUCGGGUUGUCAUGCCAAUGGCACUGCCCGGUAGCUAAAUGCGGAAGAGAUAAGUGCUGAAAGCAUCUAAGCACGAAACUUGCCCCGAGAUGAGUUCUCCCUGACUCCUUGAGAGUCCUGAAGGAACGUUG